AUUGAACGCUGGCGGCAGGCCUAACACAUGCAAGUCGAGCGGAUGGAGGGAGCUUGCUCCUGGAUUCAGCGGCGGACGGGUGAGUAAUGCCUAGGAAUCUGCCUGGUAGUGGGGGAUAACGUCCGGAAACGGGCGCUAAUACCGCAUACGUCCUGAGGGAGAAAGUGGGGGAUCUUCGGACCUCACGCUAUCAGAUGAGCCUAGGUCGGAUUAGCUAGUUGGUGGGGUAGAGGCCUACCAAGGCGACGAUCCGUAACUGGUCUGAGAGGAUGAUCAGUCACACUGGAACUGAGACACGGUCCAGACUCCUACGGGAGGCAGCAGUGGGGAAUAUUGGACAAUGGGCGAAAGCCUGAUCCAGCCAUGCCGCGUGUGUGAAGAAGGUCUUCGGAUUGUAAAGCACUUUAAGUUGGGAGGAAGGGCAGUAAGUUAAUACCUUGCUGUUUUGACGUUACCAACAGAAUAAGCACCGGCUAACUUCGUG
Molecule: ribosomal RNA, 484 nt
Filed under: uncultured bacterium
Lineage: Bacteria
Description: partial 16S ribosomal RNA
Rfam family: Bacterial small subunit ribosomal RNA
Source: RNAcentral